UAAUUUGAGAGUUUGAUCCUGGCUCAGGAUGAACGCUGGCGGCGUGCUUAACACAUGCAAGUCGAACGGAGUUAAUAAGCGGAAGUCUUCGGAUGGAAGCUUGUUAACUUAGUGGC
This 116-nucleotide ribosomal RNA is filed under the name Anaerocolumna aminovalerica. Its description in RNAcentral is "partial 16S ribosomal RNA". It matches the Rfam family "Bacterial small subunit ribosomal RNA", at positions 1 to 99 of the family's 1533-position model. The record is from RNAcentral. Lineage: Bacteria; Bacillati; Bacillota; Clostridia; Lachnospirales; Lachnospiraceae.